Molecule: long non-coding RNA, 236 nt
Filed under: Elaeis guineensis (African oil palm)
Lineage: Eukaryota; Viridiplantae; Streptophyta; Magnoliopsida; Arecales; Arecaceae
Description: long non-coding RNA (EGUI_LNC012691)
Source: RNAcentral
GAUCGUGGUCACGAUAGUAGAAGCAGUACUUAUUUGGGUCAUGACAAUACUUAGGUUUCAUUUGCAUCCUCGGAGGCUGAGGCAGCUCGGCUCGCAUCUCCAUCAAUACCUUCCCCUGAAAAUAUUCAAAGGUGUAUUAUUAGUAUAACACCUCGAAGGUGAGGGUUGUCGAUUCCUUCUUUGAGGACUUUAAGAUCGAUGAUUCUGAGGGGCUCCAUUUUUUCAUCUUUGGAAUG